This 382-nucleotide unclassified non-coding RNA is filed under the name Hevea brasiliensis (rubber tree). The record is from RNAcentral. Lineage: Eukaryota; Viridiplantae; Streptophyta; Magnoliopsida; Malpighiales; Euphorbiaceae.
CAGCAUCUCCCACCAUUGCAUCAACUCCCUUCUCUUCAAUAUUUAGAGAUUAAUAGUUUAAGUAAUUUAGAAUACAUAGAAACUGAGGGACAAGGAACUACAUUCUUUCCAUCUCUCAAGCAUCUCCAGCUCACGCACUGUCGUGAGCUAAAAGGAUGGCGGAAGAGUUUUGAAGAUUAUAGAGAUGACCCUACCGCCGUAUCAUCACAAGAGCUACUUCAAUUUCCUUGUCUUUCCCAGUUUCAUUGUCAUGGUUGCCCUAAUUUGAGUUGGAUCCCUCAGUUUCCAUCUAUCGAUGAAAGUUUACAAUUGGAGAAUGUAAGCUUGCAACUUGUGCAGCAAAUAAUCACAACAUCAGCUUCUUCUUCUUCUUCUUCCUCAA